This 182-nucleotide ribosomal RNA is filed under the name uncultured bacterium. Its description in RNAcentral is "partial 16S ribosomal RNA". It matches the Rfam family "Bacterial small subunit ribosomal RNA", at positions 1320 to 1500 of the family's 1533-position model. The record is from RNAcentral.
AUGAAGUUGGAAUCNCUAGUAAUCGCGGAUCAGCAUGCCGCGGGUGAAUGCGUUCUCGGGCCUUGUACACACCGCCCGUCACACCAUGAGAGUCGGGAACACCCGAAGUCCGUAGCCUAACCGCAAGGGGGGCGCGGCCGAAGGUGGGCUCGAUAAUUGGGGUGAAGUCGUAACAAGGUAUC